Molecule: ribosomal RNA, 442 nt
Filed under: uncultured bacterium
Lineage: Bacteria
Description: partial 16S ribosomal RNA
Rfam family: Bacterial small subunit ribosomal RNA
Source: RNAcentral
CCUACGGGGGGCUGCAGUGGGGAAUAUUGGGCAAUGGGCGCAAGCCUGACCCAGCAACGCCGCGUGAAGGACGAAGGCUUUCGGGUUGUAAACUUCUUUUAAGGGGGAAGAGCAGAAGACGGUACCCCUUGAAUAAGCCACGGCUAACUACGUGCCAGCAGCCGCGGUAAUACGUAGGUGGCAAGCGUUGUCCGGCUGUACUGGGUGUAAAGGGCGUGCAGCCGGUGAGACAAGUCAGAUGUGAAAUCCACGGGCUCAACCCGUGAACUGCAUUUGAAACUGUUUGCCUUGAGUGUCGGAGAGGUAAUCGGAAUUCCUUGUGUAGCGGUGAAAUGCGUAGAUAUAAGGAAGAACACCAGUGGCGAAGGCGGAUUACUGGACGAUAACUGACGGUGAGGCGCGAAAGCGUGGGGAGCAAACAGGAUUAGAUACCCGGGUAGUC